RNAcentral lists this unclassified non-coding RNA (297 nucleotides) under uncultured fungus. Its description in RNAcentral is "partial contains small subunit ribosomal RNA, internal transcribed spacer 1, and 5.8S ribosomal RNA". The stretch from base 1 to 73 matches the Rfam family "Eukaryotic small subunit ribosomal RNA", at positions 1759 to 1831 of the family's 1831-position model. Lineage: Eukaryota; Fungi. The record is from RNAcentral.
UCAAACUUGGUCAUUUAGAGGAAGUAAAAGUCGUAACAAGGUUUCCGUAGGUGAACCUGCGGAAGGAUCAUUACCGAGUGCGGGCCCUCGCGGCCCAACCUCCCACCCUUGUCUAUACACCUGUUGCUUUGGCGGGCCCACCGGGGCCACCCGGUCGCCGGGGGACAUCGUCCCCGGGCCCGCGCCCGCCGAAGCGCCCUGUGAACCCUGAUGAAGAUGGGCUGUCUGAGUAGUAUGAAAAUUGUCAAAACUUUCAACAAUGGAUCUCUUGGUUCCGGCAUCAAUGAAGAACGCAGC